GUGGGGGCGAAGCGACUCUCUGGUCUGUAACUGACGCUGAGGAGCGAAAGCGUGGGGAGCGAACAGGAUUAGAUACCCUGGUAGUCCACGCCGUAAACGAUGAGUGCUAAGUGUUAGGGGGUUUCCGCCCCUUAGUGCUGCAGCUAACGCAUUAAGCACUCCGCCUGGGGAGUACGGUCGCAAGACUGAAACUCAAAGGAAUUGACGGGGGCCCGCACAAGCGGUGGAGCAUGUGGUUUAAUUCGAAGCAACGCGAAGAACCUUACCAGGUCUUGACAUCCUCUGACAAUCCUAGAGAUAGGACGUCCCCUUCGGGGGCAGAGUGACAGGUGGUGCAUGGUUGUCGUCAGCUCGUGUCGUGAGAUGUUGGGUUAAGUCCCGCAACGAGCGCAACCCUUGAUCUUAGUUGCCAGCAUUCAGUUGGGCACUCUAAGGUGACUGCCGGUGACAAACCGGAGGAAGGUGGGGAUGACGUCAAAUCAUCAUGCCCCUUAUGACCUGGGCUACACACGUGCUACAAUGGACAGAACAAAGGGCAGCGAAACCGCGAGGUUAAGCCAAUCCCACAAAUCUGUUCUCAGUUCGGAUCGCAGUCUGCAACUCGACUGCGUGAAGCUGGAAUCCCUAUUAAUCGCG
Molecule: ribosomal RNA, 636 nt
Filed under: Bacillus velezensis
Lineage: Bacteria; Bacillati; Bacillota; Bacilli; Caryophanales; Bacillaceae
Description: bacterial SSU rRNA
Rfam family: Bacterial small subunit ribosomal RNA
Source: RNAcentral